AUAUAUAUAUAUCAAACCCUGUUUCUAGCUACAAAUAUUUACACACAAAUAUAAUAGUAGAAAUGAACAGAAAAAAGAAACCAUAAGGACCGUAGACUGUGUUUGUGCAUAUACAAACAUAUAUGUACAGAUACAUAAAUAUACACAGUAUAAUCAUCACGCACAAACCGUAUGGACUAUAUAAAGAUAAGAAACAUAGUGUACACACCUCAUACUGAGAAUCUGGACUUUACAAGCCCAACCCUAUUGAUUUGCUUCCUGUUAACAAAAAUUCUAACAAAUCAAACAUGUACCAAAUUAAAAAUUAAACAAUCAUGGAAUGAAACAUAGAAGAUACUACCUGCCUUUCGUGCUCUCCAUUGAAUAAAACCGAAGAACAAACAAAUCAAAGAAUAAUAGAAUGAAUACCGUGAAAGCUAUACCUGCCACAAUAAUAAGAUUCCGCGGCUGACAGGAAAAACUAAGAGAAGAAAGAAAAUGGGAGAAAUUGUGGCCGGCUUAGCAGAGAAACCAAGGAGAAAAGUCUAGGGUUUUUUUUGGGUAGGGGAGGCUGGAGGCCGCGGUGAGCAAAAAGAGCAUAGAUGGUUAAAUGGCAGUCGGACGGAUAGGGUUUGGGGUAAGGGGAAAGAAUAGGUUUGGGCUG
This 643-nucleotide long non-coding RNA is filed under the name Carica papaya (papaya). RNAcentral describes it as "long non-coding RNA (CPAP_LNC014034)". Lineage: Eukaryota; Viridiplantae; Streptophyta; Magnoliopsida; Brassicales; Caricaceae. The record is from RNAcentral.